Molecule: ribosomal RNA, 728 nt
Filed under: Shewanella sp.
Lineage: Bacteria; Pseudomonadati; Pseudomonadota; Gammaproteobacteria; Alteromonadales; Shewanellaceae
Description: bacterial SSU rRNA
Rfam family: Bacterial small subunit ribosomal RNA
Source: RNAcentral
AGUCGAGCGGCAGCACAAGGGAGUUUACUCCUGAGGUGGCGAGCGGCGGACGGGUGAGUAAUGCCUAGGGAUCUGCCCAGUCGAGGGGGAUAACAGUUGGAAACGACUGCUAAUACCGCAUACGCCCUACGGGGGAAAGGAGGGGACCUUCGGGCCUUCCGCGAUUGGAUGAACCUAGGUGGGAUUAGCUAGUUGGUGAGGUAAUGGCUCACCAAGGCGACGAUCCCUAGCUGUUCUGAGAGGAUGAUCAGCCACACUGGGACUGAGACACGGCCCAGACUCCUACGGGAGGCAGCAGUGGGGAAUAUUGCACAAUGGGGGAAACCCUGAUGCAGCCAUGCCGCGUGUGUGAAGAAGGCCUUCGGGUUGUAAAGCACUUUCAGUAGGGAGGAAAGGGUGUAGUUUAAUACGCUAUAUCUGUGACGUUACCUACAGAAGAAGGACCGGCUAACUCCGUGCCAGCAGCCGCGGUAAUACGGAGGGUCCGAGCGUUAAUCGGAAUUACUGGGCGUAAAGCGUGCGCAGGCGGUUUGUUAAGCGAGAUGUGAAAGCCCUGGGCUCAACCUAGGAAUAGCAUUUCGAACUGGCGAACUAGAGUCUUGUAGAGGGGGGUAGAAUUCCAGGUGUAGCGGUGAAAUGCGUAGAGAUCUGGAGGAAUACCGGUGGCGAAGGCGGCCCCCUGGACAAAGACUGACGCUCAUGCACGAAAGCGUGGGGAGCAAACAGGA